UUUCUCGUGCCACCUCUUACCGUCUCUAUUCUUCCUUCUUCUUCGACGAGAGUGGAGAAAUCGGCGAUUGGAUUUCUCAACGGAAAUCGUUUCAUCGCCACCACCCCAUUAAUCCAUUUCUGCGCCAUGAAUUCUUCUUUAAUGUUCAUGUAUCUCCUCCUAUUUAUAUCGGGUCAUUUCCGAAAGGAUUCAAUACUCUCAAAAAUCUCAAGAAAGAUGAAUUCCAACAGCAAGACCUCUGUUUCCGGCGAUCUUACCUCCGCGAAGUUGAUCAACUACGCCGGUGAGCCUGUGAACCGUUCCUCUGAAACCGCCAAUUCCUCUGUCGUAGCUAGGCCAAAAAAGCAUAACUGCUGACUCCUCUGUCAACGCUGUCGCCGGUGAAGCUAGGUACAAGAAACGCCAAGGAAAGGCCGUUGUUUCCUCUGACAAGUCCGAUGCAGUUUUGUCCCUGUCGGACCACACGAAGACGCCUUUUGGUCUAGAGAUCCUGCUCAUCAACGAGCAGGGUAUUGUGAUUCCACCAGGGGGGAUUGACACCUAUCUGCCACACUUGGUUCCUGGUUCCAUAUACAGACUCACCAACUUCUACGGGUCUAAGAGCAAAAUUGUGUACCGUGUUGCUGAGCCAAAUGUGACCGUGACUUUCUCUUGGAACUCCGUCCUCUCUGUUUCAGCGGACAGUACGGCUGGGUUUCCUGAGGAUCGGCUCCGAUUCUAUGGGCACAAGGAAUUUGAUGAGGCCUGAGACCGUAAAGGAGACCUUUAUGGUACUGCGCCCUGAGGCUCUGGACCCUGAAGGCAUCUUGGAUGGCAACUUGGAUGAGGAAGCUGAAGAUGGAAAGGGGAAAUCUGCCGAUGAGAAGGUGAAGAAGAGUUCUGAUGUUGUUGAGUCAGCAGAAGUCUAACGGCGCAAUUGUGACUGAAAUUUCUUAUCUCUGUUUUUUGGUUUUAUUAAAGACUAUGCAUUGUUACUUUCCUUUCUAGACUCUGUUUUUGCAGGAUUAGAACCAUUUCGGUAUUACUAUCUAUUGGUUCACUUAUCUUUUUUUUUUUUUAAACCUACAUUGUUUUGGGAGUAUUCAAGUGUUUCAAGUCUUUUAGUUCUUAAGCGUGAAGUUAAGUUUGAUACGAGUAGUGGCAUGUUAUCAAGUUGCUGAAGGACAAACCCAGGUGUUUUGUUUUAAUUUUAAUGUUGUUCAUUUACGA
Brassica oleracea var. oleracea is the source of this 1209-nucleotide long non-coding RNA. RefSeq lists it as uncharacterized. The transcript has 3 exons. Lineage: Eukaryota; Viridiplantae; Streptophyta; Magnoliopsida; Brassicales; Brassicaceae. The record is from RefSeq and is a predicted model, not a curated record.